GAGUUUGAUCAUGGCUCAGAUUGAACGCUGGCGGCAGGCCUAACACAUGCAAGUCGAACGGUAACAUGACUAGCUUGCUAGUUGAUGACGAGUGGCGGACGGGUGAGUAACGCGUAGGAAUCUACCCAGUAGCGGGGGAUAAGCCAGAGAAAUUUGGUCUAAUACCGCAUACGCCCUUCGGGGGAAAGCAGGGGAUCUUCGGACCUUGCACUAUUGGAUGAGCCUGCGUGAGAUUAGCUUGUUGGUGAGGUAAUGGCUCACCAAGGCGACGAUCUCUAGCUGGUCUGAGAGGAUGAUCAGCCACACUGGAACUGAGACACGGUCCAGACUCCUACGGGAGGCAGCAGUGGGGAAUAUUGCACAAUGGGCGCAAGCCUGAUGCAGCCAUGCCGCGUGUGUGAAGAAGGCCCUAGGGUUGUAAAGCACUUUCAGCAGUGAGGAAAGGUUAGUAGUUAAUACCUGCUAGCUGUGACGUUAACUGCAGAAGAAGCACCGGCUAACUCCGUGCCAGCAGCCGCGGUAAUACGGAGGGUGCGAGCGUUAAUCGGAAUUACUGGGCGUAAAGCGCGCGU
This 572-nucleotide ribosomal RNA is filed under the name uncultured bacterium. RNAcentral describes it as "bacterial SSU rRNA". It matches the Rfam family "Bacterial small subunit ribosomal RNA", at positions 9 to 572 of the family's 1533-position model. The record is from RNAcentral.